RNAcentral lists this ribosomal RNA (315 nucleotides) under uncultured eukaryote. Its description in RNAcentral is "partial 18S ribosomal RNA". It matches the Rfam family "Eukaryotic small subunit ribosomal RNA", at positions 1470 to 1796 of the family's 1831-position model. The record is from RNAcentral.
CCCUUAGACGUUCUGGGCCGCACGCGCGCUACACUGACCAGUGCAACAAGCAUCCGUCCUUGGCCGACAGGCUCGGGCAAUCUUUGAACGCUGGUCGUGAUGGGGAUAGACUUUUGCAAUUUUUGGUCUUCAACGAGGAAUUCCUAGUAAACGCAAGUCAUCAACUUGCAUUGAUUACGUCCCUGCCCUUUGUACACACCGCCCGUCGCACCUACCGAUUGAAUGGUCCGGUGAAGCCUCCGGAUUGGCGCGCACCUCGGUGCCGCCGAGAAGUUGGCUAAACCUUACCAUUUAGAGGAAAGAGAAGUCGUAACA